This 497-nucleotide ribosomal RNA is filed under the name uncultured bacterium. Its description in RNAcentral is "partial 16S ribosomal RNA". It matches the Rfam family "Bacterial small subunit ribosomal RNA", at positions 28 to 507 of the family's 1533-position model. The record is from RNAcentral.
GACGAACGCUGGCGGCGUGCCUAAUACAUGCAAGUCGAGCGCUGAAGCUUGGUACUUGUACCUACUGCGUGAGCAGCGAACGGGUGAGUAACGCGUGGGGAAUCUGCCUUUGAGCGGGGGACAACAUUUGGAAACGAAUGCUAAUACCGCAUAAAAUCUUUAAACGCAAGUUUUAAUUUUGAAAGAUGCAAUUGCAUCACUCAAAGAUGAUCCCGCGUUGUAUUAGCUAGGUGGUGAGGUAAAGGCUCACCAAAGCGAUGAUACAUAGCCGAACUGAGAGGGUGAGCGGCCACAUUGGGACUGAGACACGGGCCAAAAUCCUUCAGGAGGGAGCAGGAGGGAAACUUCGGGCAUGGGCGGAAGUCUGACCGGGCAACGCCGCGGGAGUGAAGAAGGGUUUCGGGUCGGAAAACUCUGUUGGUAGGGAAGAAAGUUGGUGGGAGUGGAAAGCGCAUCAAGUGACGGUAACUACCCAGAAAGGGACGGCUAACUACGUG